RNAcentral lists this ribosomal RNA (797 nucleotides) under uncultured bacterium. RNAcentral describes it as "bacterial SSU rRNA". It matches the Rfam family "Bacterial small subunit ribosomal RNA", at positions 8 to 796 of the family's 1533-position model. The record is from RNAcentral.
AGAGUUUGAUCAUGGCUCAGGAUGAACGCUAGCGGCAGGCUUAAUACAUGCAAGUCGUGGGGCAGCAGCUCUGUAGCAAUACAGAGGCUGGCGACCGGCAAACGGGUGCGGAACACGUACACAACCUUCCUUCGAGUGGGGAAUAGCCCGGGGAAACCCGGAUUAAUACCCCGUAACAUAAUGGAGUGGCAUCACUUUAUUAUUAUAGCUCCGGCGCUUGAAGAUGGGUGUGCGACUGAUUAGGCAGUUGGCGGGGUAACGGCCCACCAAACCUACGAUCAGUAACUGGUGUGAGAGCACGACCAGUCACACGGGCACUGAGACACGGGCCCGACUCCUACGGGAGGCAGCAGUAAGGAAUAUUGGUCAAUGGACGCAAGUCUGAACCAGCCAUGCCGCGUGGAGGAUGAAGGCCCUCUGGGUUGUAAACUUCUUUUAUCUGGGACGAAAAAGGGACUUUCUAGUUCAACUGACGGUACCAGAGGAAUAAGCACCGGCUAACUCCGUGCCAGCAGCCGCGGUAAUACGGAGGGUGCAAGCGUUAUCCGGAUUCACUGGGUUUAAAGGGUGCGUAGGUGGAUUGGUAAGUCAGUGGUGAAAUCUCCAGGCUUAACUUGGAAACUGCCAUUGAUACUAUUAAUCUUGAAUACCGUGGAGGUCAGCGGAAUAUGUCAUGUAGCGGUGAAAUGCUUAGAUAUGACAUAGAACACCAAUUGCGAAGGCAGCUGGCUACACGAAUAUUGACACUGAUGCACGAAAGCGUGGGGAUCAAACAGGAUUAGAUACCCUGGUAGUCC